AUAUUGACUAAAGGAAAAGAGUUCAGUUUAGGGUUUAAAACCCUAAUGCUGACUAAAGGAAAAGAGCUCAGUUUAGGGUUUAAAACCCUAAUGCUGACUGAAGGAAAAGAGUUCAGUUUAGGGAUUAAAAUCCUAAUGCUGACUAAAGGAAAAGAGUUCAGUUUAGGGUUUAAAACCUUAAUGCUGACUAAAGGAAAAGAGUUCAGUUUAGAGUUUAAAACCCUAAUGCUGACUAAAGGAAAAGUUCAGUUUAAGGUUUAAAACCCUAAUGCUGACUAAAGGAGAAGAGUUCAGUUUAGGGUUUAAAACCCUAAUGCUGACUAAAGGAAAAGUUCAGUUUAGGGUUUAAAACCCUAAUGCUGACUAAAAGGAAAAGUUCAGUUUAGGGUUUAAAACCCUAAUGCUGACUGAAUGGAAAAAGUUCAGUUUAGGUUUUAAAACCCUAAUGCUGACUAAAUGGAAAAUGUUCAGUUUAGGGUUUAAAACCCUAAUGUUGACUGAAGGAAA
Molecule: long non-coding RNA, 507 nt
Filed under: Nicotiana tabacum (common tobacco)
Lineage: Eukaryota; Viridiplantae; Streptophyta; Magnoliopsida; Solanales; Solanaceae
Description: long non-coding RNA (NTAB_LNC005999)
Source: RNAcentral